This is a non-coding RNA of Pteropus alecto (black flying fox), 120 nucleotides long. The record is from Rfam. Lineage: Eukaryota; Metazoa; Chordata; Mammalia; Chiroptera; Pteropodidae.
AGCUAUGGCCAUGCUACUCUGAACAAGCCUGAUCCCGUCUGAUCUCGGAAGCUAAGUAGGGUCGGGGCCUGGUUAGUACUCAGAUGGGAGACCACCUAGAAAGACCAGGUGCUGUAGGCA